UACGUAGGGUGCAAGCGUUGUCCGGAAUCAUUGGGCGUAAAGCGCGUGUAGGCGGCCCGGUAAGUCCGCUGUGAAAGUCCAGGGCUCAACCCUGGGAUGCCGGUGGAUACUGUCGGGCUCGAGUCCGGAAGAGGCGAGUCGAAUUCCUGGUGUAGCGGUGAAAUGCGCAGAUAUCAGGAGGAACACCAAUGGCGAAGGCAGCUCGCUGGGACGUGACUGACGCUGAGACGCGAAAGCGUGGGGAGCAAACAGG
RNAcentral lists this ribosomal RNA (253 nucleotides) under uncultured bacterium. RNAcentral's name for it is "partial 16S ribosomal RNA". It matches the Rfam family "Bacterial small subunit ribosomal RNA", at positions 524 to 776 of the family's 1533-position model. The record is from RNAcentral.